AGAGAGAGAGAGAGAGACAGACACCUGAAAGUGCUGCUGAAUGCCAGUUGAGACUUGAGAGUGUGGAUCUUCCUUUCUCGUGAGGAUUGAGGCAGGUGUUUUAAGAAUUUUUCUUUUAUUUGACUUUAAAUAAUUAAAAAAAAAAUGUCAUUAAUAUGGACUUAGAAGGAUCAAGAUGCUUUCAUCAGUCUUAAACAUGCCCUAGCAUCCUCCACUGUUUUGGUGGUAGAAAUAGAGGUCAAGGAGUGUGGAUCAAUAAACUAAUAGAACUAAAUGCUGAACUUAACUUGAAAUUGGGCUCUGAUCACGAAAAUGGACUAAGCCAUUUUAAUUUGGUUUGCCAACACUUAUAUCUUCUUUAAUUUUCUUAUACACUGCCAAUGUG
RNAcentral lists this unclassified non-coding RNA (385 nucleotides) under Hevea brasiliensis (rubber tree). The record is from RNAcentral. Lineage: Eukaryota; Viridiplantae; Streptophyta; Magnoliopsida; Malpighiales; Euphorbiaceae.